This 371-nucleotide ribosomal RNA is filed under the name uncultured organism. RNAcentral describes it as "bacterial SSU rRNA". It matches the Rfam family "Bacterial small subunit ribosomal RNA", at positions 526 to 896 of the family's 1533-position model. The record is from RNAcentral.
CGGAGGGUGCGAGCGUUGUCCGGAAUUAUUGGGCGUAAAGCGCGCGCAGGUGGGAUACUAAGUCUGUCUUAAAAGUGCGGGGCUCAACCCCGUGAUGGGAUGGAAACUGGUAUUCUUGAGUGCAGGAGAGGAAAGCGGAAUUCCCAGUGUAGCGGUGAAAUGCGUAGAUAUUGGGAGGAACACCAGUGGCGAAGGCGGCUUUCUGGACUGUGUCUGACACUGAGGCGCGAAAGCCAGGGUAGUGAACGGGAUUAGAUACCCCGGUAAUCCUGGCCGUAAACGAUGGGUACUAGGUGUAGAGGGUAUCGACCCCUUCUGUGCCGGAGUUAACGCAAUAAGUACCCCGCCUGGGGAGUACGGCCGCAAGGUUG